Molecule: long non-coding RNA, 1674 nt
Organism: Apteryx haastii (Great spotted kiwi)
Lineage: Eukaryota; Metazoa; Chordata; Aves; Apterygiformes; Apterygidae
Source: Ensembl
AUGCAGUGGUGUUUGCAAAACAGCCAGAAAUUGGCAUUAAAAGAGCAAUGGCCAUUUUGGAGGGGAAGAGGUUUGUCAUUGCCCACCGCUGUGAAGCAGAAAACUAGGGGAUGGGUUUGUGCUAGGGGCCUGGAGCCAAGACCCACCAACCGUGUCCUGCACUGCAGCCCUGCAGCGGCGGCUCCCGGUGCGGGGAGCCAGGCUGAGCCCCCCCGUCUGGCGUGCAAGCGGCACACCGUGGUCAGGUCGCCUGUGCGUCCAGGCAGCAGCCUCCAGUCGUGCCACCUGCGGAGGGUCCCGGUGCUUGGCUGUGGCUGCUGCUCUUCUCCUGUGGGCGCAGCGGGUCCCACGCAGGUCAGCGUCCGUGGAGAGCUGUGGGGUGGCACAGUACAGCGGGCAGAGCCAGCUCCCGGCUCCACAUGGCUGGAGCAUGCAGUGCCGGGUGAACAGAGAGGCCAUGUUUGCCCUGGGCUGGUGGGCGAUGGCGUGGCUGCGGCACGGAGAUGCGGAGGCAGCGUCAGGGCGAGCGCGGCAGAGCGGCUGGUGCGCUCCUGCCUGCGCCGUCCCAGCGUGGCUCCCGGCAGAGCCCCGGCGUCGCGGGGCCGCUCAGCCACCCGCCCCGCCGCAGGCAGCUGCAGCUGCGUGGCCGUGCAGGAGCGCGUCCCGGGGGUGCUGAGAUCAGCGGGUGCGGCCGGGAUUCCUGGGCUCCCGCCGGGCUGCUCCAAGUCGAUUUACAGCACUGUUAUUGCCGGGCGUGUUGUGUCGCCCCAGCAACCGGGGCUGAGCCUGGCUGCCCCUUCGCCGGGGCGGGAUGGGCGCUGGGGGUCUCCCCCCGCGUGGAGCGCCGCGGCAGGAUGCGGGGGUGGCUGCUGCAGGGCCAUGGGAAACGCGGCCGGCGCGUGGGCUGGCUCCAGCCGCCGCGUGAUGGGGAAUCCCGCCACUGCCUCCCGCGUCCGGGGCGGGCAGCCCGAGCCCUGCACGGUGCUGGGGGCGGCUCGGUGGGCUGGGGCGCAGGGGCUCAGGGGGGCUCCCCGGCCCCCGCUCCCUCGCCCACGCCGCCUCCACCCGCGGCGCUCCUUCCCGGCGACACUGCUGGCCGUGCGCUUCCCAGGCCAGAGGCUGUGGGAAUGGGCAGCAGCUCCGCGCGCUAGCAGCUGGAUGGGAGCGUGCAGCCAAGUUGGCCGCCAGCCGUGGAUGCUGCGUGGUGUCCCCGUUAGCUCAGCGGCGCCGGCUUCCUCCCGUGACUCAUCCGGGUGGCAGGGCAGGCAGGAAAGGGGCUCGGGAAGCCUGGCGGCCUCGGCGCGGGGUCUCCUUGCGGUGGCUGCCCUGGCUGCCCGUCCCCCCCACAGCGGCACGCGUGGCUCCCGGGCACCCCUGGCCGCAGCGGCGGUGGGGUGCUCCUGGGUGCUGUGCUCGCGCCAGGGCAGGGUCAGGCCGGGUGCCGGUGGGCAGCAGCGGUGUCGGCACAACCCUUGUGCACGCGAGGAGGUGGUAGCGCCCGGCACGCAGUGCCGGUGCCCCAGCGAUGCGGCCAGGCAGGGCCCGCGGCGCCCGCUGCAGCUCUUCCCGGUGGGCGCAAGGCCACGUCCCCUGUGCUGGGGUGUCUGGGGUGUCCCGGGGAGCAGCGGGAGCAAAACCCCUCUGCGCGACCCUGGCUCCUCAUCCCCCAGGUGA